UGCGAGCGUGACGGCGCGAGCAGGUGCGAAAGCAGGUCAUAGUGAUCCGGUGGUUCUGAAUGGAAGGGCCAUCGCUCAACGGAUAAAAGGUACUCCGGGGAUAACAGGCUGAUACCGCCCAAGAGUUCAUAUCGACGGCGGUGUUUGGCACCUCGAUGUCGGCUCAUCACAUCCUGGGGCUGAAGUAGGUCCCAAGGGUAUGGCUGUUCGCCAUUUAAAGUGGUACGCGAGCUGGGUUUAGAACGUCGUGAGACAGUUCGGUCCCUAUCUGCCGUGGGCGCUGGAGAACUGAGGGGGGCUGCUCCUAGUACGAGAGGACCGGAGUGGACGCAUCACUGGUGUUCGGGUUGUCAUGCCAAUGGCACUGCCCGGUAGCUAAAUGCGGAAGAGAUAAGUGCUGAAAGCAUCUAAGCACGAAACUUGCC
Molecule: ribosomal RNA, 425 nt
Filed under: Escherichia coli
Lineage: Bacteria; Pseudomonadati; Pseudomonadota; Gammaproteobacteria; Enterobacterales; Enterobacteriaceae
Also listed under: 1 other name
Description: partial 23S ribosomal RNA
Rfam family: Bacterial large subunit ribosomal RNA
Source: RNAcentral